RNAcentral lists this ribosomal RNA (253 nucleotides) under uncultured bacterium. Its description in RNAcentral is "partial 16S ribosomal RNA". It matches the Rfam family "Bacterial small subunit ribosomal RNA", at positions 524 to 776 of the family's 1533-position model. The record is from RNAcentral.
UACGUAGGAGACGAGCGUUGUCCGGAAUUACUGGGCGUAAAGCGCGUGUAGGCGGAUAAGCAAGUCUGCUGUGAAAGCUCCUGGCUUAACCGGGAGUGGUCGGUGGAAACUGCUCGUCUGGAGGACGGUAGAGGUAGGUAGAAUUCCCGGUGUAGUGGUGAAAUGCGUAGAGAUCGGGAGGAAUACCUGUGGCGAAGGCGGCCUACUGGGCCGGACCUGACGCUGAGACGCGAAGGCGUGGGGAGCGAACGGG